Cavia porcellus (domestic guinea pig) is the source of this 2378-nucleotide long non-coding RNA. RefSeq lists it as uncharacterized. The record is from RefSeq and is a predicted model, not a curated record. NCBI's taxonomy places the organism in Eukaryota, Metazoa, Chordata, Mammalia, Rodentia, Caviidae. The transcript has 3 exons.
AGUGAGGACAACAGCUCUUCGUGUAGCCUUACUGUAGAGAAGCUUCAGCUUUGGCUUAACUCUCAGCAGCUUUGGGUGGCUCAUUUCUGCUUUUAGAGGUGUCCUUGGGUAAGGUGGACCUCCACCUCCCUCCAGCUGGAUGGGCCAAGCCCACAAAUAUGCCUGGGGACUUGUUUGAAUGCAAAUUUUUGGGAUCCCCUGGGCUGGGGCACUGCCAUGUCACCUUAAUGAGCCCCAAAGAGGAUUGUGGGUGUGCAGAACAGGGGUGGUGGGUCCCAGGGUGAGCUCCUCCAAGCAGCAAUCUCAUCCCCUGAGAUCAGAUGUGCAACGCUCUCUUGGAAGUCUUUUUACCCAUGAAAUGCAAUCCAUCAGGGAAAGAAGAAACGCAAUUCUUUAGCAGCUGAAGCCCAGAGCAAGGUAAGCUUGUCCAGGAAGCCUGGGGAAAAGGCAGCUGACUUUGAAGGCAGAUCUGUUUUACUUAUUUUGAAGUAGGAAGAUUCUACAAGGGCAACUUUUCUCCAGUCCUGCAGGGUGGCUCCAGGAUAUAUGAAUAUUGGGGGGUCGGGCUGCGCCUGUGUGUCCUCUGGGUCCCCUGUCUGGUGACUCCCGGGGUGGGCGUGUGUGGGGGGCUCGGGCCACAUUUAAGCGUCCUCUGGGUUCCCUGCACGAUGACUCCCAGGGUGGAUGUGUUUGCAGGUUCGGCCUGCAUUUGUGUCCCCCGGUUCUCCUGCGUCCCCUGUUGAAGGCUGACGAUAGGUUCACAACAGCCACCUAUACCCGGGGCAAGCGCGACACGGCGGUGACAGCUGGGACGAGUAAGAACGUUCCGGGCACAGAGAGGACCCCGCUUCCUGGUGAGGCGGAGUUCCACAAGGCCGCCUGGUUUCUCCACGCUGGCCGCGCUCUCAGCACCGGCACACACGAUCUUUCGCCGAGUUCUCAGUGACCCCGGCUCUAGAGACCCGAGGGGUGCUCCGAGGUCCCUUUAACCCCGAAAACUUUCUCCCUCCACUCGCGACCCCCGCUGCGCGCACAUUGGUGGACCGCCACACUGGGCCCGCCUUCGCCCUCACCGAUUGGUUCCCACAAGCAUCCAUCCCUGAGAGAGGCUUCCUAUGAGACUGCUCUCUUGCCCAUCAAAGAUGGGCGGGUCGGGUGCGACUCACUACCCUCAGCACCCUCCUUGCCUCUCGAGGGGGCCGGACCGGAGCCGCCAGAAGCCGAGGCUGCACGGGGCUCCAGAGACUCACCGAUGCGCUGUCCCACCGGGGAGCUGAACGGGUUUCCCAAGAGAAAGUCCAUGGCCGCGGCAGUCGCUGCCACUAACCGGGUAAUCAGCUGACAGCAACCGCCGGCGCCGCCAACCCGUGACGUGACGCGCCAGCGGCUGGAGGAGAGGCCGAGCGCUCAGGGCAGGUCUCCGCCCAGAUGCGUCACGCACGCGGGGCGAGGCCGCCAAACCGGGUCCCGAGCGCGGCGCCGUGGUCCAGGGGCGUGGCCUAAGGGUCCGCGUCGGAAGCGGGAGGGGAUUGGUCCUUUCCCUGCGCCGGAAGUGGAGUUCGGGCGCUGUUCGCUUGCUGAGCUGCGGUGGCUUGGCGGAGUGGCCAGGCGUGGGCCGUCGGCAUGUAAACACGAGUCCCCAUUCUCUCUGCUUGAGAUCCAAGACUUGGCACCAUUGUUUUGCAAGGUGCUCCACGGGGCUGGAGGACUCCGCCUCUUCUGGUCGUAACUAUGGAAAUGUAAGCGACGUAGUCCACCUUUCCGUAGAGGCUCCUGCACUGUAGCCAUGUACAUUUACGAUGACCUUCAUAUUAAGGUUGCUUGGGACUACAGAAAAUGUUCACAGUUCUGUUUGCCAGUAAACAGCAAGGACUAUCAGAUGCUCGGGCUUUGCAAUUUGUUUAUUUUAUUUUAUUUUGUCUUUUUCCUUUUUAUCAGUACCAGGGAUCGAACUCAUGACUGCCUGCUUGCAAGGCAGGUGCUUAUGCCGCUGAGCUAAAUCCCCACUCAGCCCCAUGGCUUUGCAAUUUGUAAAAGACAGUGAAGAGCAUUUACAGUGUAAAAGUUAAUUAAUGGUAAGAUGGUUGGUAGGAAAAUGGCUGAAGUUAGUAAUUUCACUUCUACUUCAAAUUCUUUAUUUUGGAGAAAAUUACAGUACAACAAAAGGUGAAAAACAGCUAAAUUUUAUAAUUUCAUAGCAAGUCUGAUAAGCAUGAUUAGGGAAAAGACAGCUGAGACUAAACUACAAAUAUUAAAAAUGUGAUUUUUAAUAAUAUAAGUACAAAAUUUUAUUUCUUUAUACAAUCAUAAUGACAUUUGGGUCAAGCCACUGGAAUUUAAAAAAACAAAAUAAAACAAGGAUAUAAAAACUGCAAGAA